RNAcentral lists this ribosomal RNA (497 nucleotides) under uncultured bacterium. RNAcentral's name for it is "partial 16S ribosomal RNA". It matches the Rfam family "Bacterial small subunit ribosomal RNA", at positions 28 to 507 of the family's 1533-position model. The record is from RNAcentral.
GAUGAACGCUGGCGGCGUGCCUAAUACAUGCAAGUCGAGCGAACAGACGAGGAGCUUGCUCCUCUGACGUUAGCGGCGGACGGGUGAGUAACACGUGGAUAACCUACCUAUAAGACUGGGAUAACUUCGGGAAACCGGAGAUAAUACCGGAUAAUAUAUAGAACCGCAUGGUUCAAUAGUGAAAGACGGAUUUGCUGUCACUUAUAGAUGGAUCCGCGCCGCAUUAGCUAGUUGGUAAGGUAACGGCUUACCAAGGCAACGAUGCGUAGCCGACCUGAGAGGGUGAUCGGCCACACUGGAACUGAGACACGGUCCAGACUCCUACGGGAGGCAGCAGUAGGGAAUCUUCCGCAAUGGGCGAAAGCUUGACGGAGCAACGCCGCGUGAGUGAUGAAGGUCUUCGGAUCGUAAAACUCUGUUAUUAGGGAAGAACAAAUGUGUAAGUAACUAUGCACGUCUUGACGGUACCUAAUCAGAAAGCCACGGCUAACUACGUG